AGAGUUUGAUCCUGGCUCAGAUUGAACGCUGGCGGCAGGCCUAACACAUGCAAGUCGAGCGGUAGAGAGAAGCUUGCUUCUCUUGAGAGCGGCGGACGGGUGAGUAAUGCCUAGGAAUCUGCCUGGUAGUGGGGGAUAACGUUCGGAAACGGACGCUAAUACCGCAUACGUCCUACGGGAGAAAGCAGGGGACCUUCGGGCCUUGCGCUAUCAGAUGAGCCUAGGUCGGAUUAGCUAGUUGGUGGGGUAAUGGCUCACCAAGGCGACGAUCCGUAACUGGUCUGAGAGGAUGAUCAGUCACACUGGAACUGAGACACGGUCCAGACUCCUACGGGAGGCAGCAGUGGGGAAUAUUGGACAAUGGGCGAAAGCCUGAUCCAGCCAUGCCGCGUGUGUGAAGAAGGUCUUCGGAUUGUAAAGCACUUUAAGUUGGGAGGAAGGGCAGUAAAUUAAUACUUUGCUGUUUUGACGUUACCGACAGAAUAAGCACCGGCUAACUCUGUGCCAGCAGCCGCGGUAAUACAGAGGGUGCAAGCGUUAAUCGGAAUUACUGGGCGUAAAGCGCGCGUAGGUGGUUAGUUAAGUUGGNAUGUGAAAUCCCCGGGCUCAACCUGGGAACUGCAUUCAAAACUGACUGACUAGAGU
This 645-nucleotide ribosomal RNA is filed under the name uncultured bacterium. RNAcentral describes it as "bacterial SSU rRNA". It matches the Rfam family "Bacterial small subunit ribosomal RNA", at positions 8 to 647 of the family's 1533-position model. The record is from RNAcentral.